Molecule: long non-coding RNA, 541 nt
Organism: Homarus americanus (American lobster)
Lineage: Eukaryota; Metazoa; Arthropoda; Malacostraca; Decapoda; Nephropidae
Exons: 2
Source: RefSeq, a predicted model, not a curated record
ACCACCAAGAACAACAAUAUCACCAUCACCACCACCUCCAUCACCACCACCACCACCACCACAAACACCACCACUACCACCACAACCCACAACAACCAGUCACAGUGCCGUAUCCUUAACAUACGUACUGCACCAACAACACCCAUAGCCAAACAAACUACCUCCCUCUCUCAUUUAAAUCCUCCCAAAACUAACUUCCCCUUAAACUAAAACCAACCCACACACACACCUCUUACCCUCCCCCCCUUCAACACCACACACACCCCUUCUUAACCCCGUCUCAGUACACCUUGAGUCUCUAUUUUUGGAGUGUAAAUAAGCACCAACAAAUCAGGCUUUAUGAAAAAAGUAUGCGUCGUAUUCCACCUUAGGGCCCCUUGCGUAGUACCACACCACAAGGAAGUCUUCCUCCUGCUACGAGCUACACGUGAUGUUUCCAAACCCGGAGGAACCUGGAUGCUGUGCUAUUAUAUUAACCAUCGCUUCUUAUCUUCUCAUCUUCGCCACUUUCCCCUUCUCAUUAUGCAUGUGUAUCAAGGUA